This 250-nucleotide ribosomal RNA is filed under the name Salmonella enterica. Its description in RNAcentral is "partial 16S ribosomal RNA". It matches the Rfam family "Bacterial small subunit ribosomal RNA", at positions 1 to 246 of the family's 1533-position model. Lineage: Bacteria; Pseudomonadati; Pseudomonadota; Gammaproteobacteria; Enterobacterales; Enterobacteriaceae. The record is from RNAcentral.
UUAAUUGAAGAGUUUGAUCAUGGCUCAGAUUGAACGCUGGCGGCAGGCCUAACACAUGCAAGUCGAACGGUAACAGGAAGCAGCUUGCUGCUUUGCUGACGAGUGGCGGACGGGUGAGUAAUGUCUGGGAAACUGCCUGAUGGAGGGGGAUAACUACUGGAAACGGUGGCUAAUACCGCAUAACGUCGCAAGACCAAAGAGGGGGACCUUCGGGCCUCUUGCCAUCAGAUGUGCCCAGAUGGGAUUAGCU